Molecule: ribosomal RNA, 440 nt
Filed under: uncultured bacterium
Lineage: Bacteria
Description: bacterial SSU rRNA
Rfam family: Bacterial small subunit ribosomal RNA
Source: RNAcentral
CCUACGGGGGGCAGCAGUGGGGAAUAUUGCACAAUGGGGGAAACCCUGAUGCAGCAACGCCGCGUGAGCGAUGAAGGCCUUCGGGUCGUGAAGCGCUGUCCUAAGGGAAGAAUACUGACGGUACCUUAGGAGGAAGCCCCGGCUAACUACGUGCUAGCAGCAGCGGUAAUGCGGAGGGGGCUAGUGCUAUGCGGAAUUACUGGGCGUAAAGGGUGCGGAGGCGGACCUUCAAGUCAGAGGUGAAAGGUUACGGCUCAACGGAAGUAAGCCUUUGAAAGUGUAGGGCUUGGGUGCAGCGGAGGGGAGUGGAAUGCCCGGUGUAGGGGUGAAGUGCGUGGAGAUUGGAGGGAACACCGGUUGCGAAGGCUGCUGUCGGGACUGUAGCAGACGCGGAGGCACGAAAGCGUGGGGAGCGAACAGGAUUAGAUACCCUGGUAGUC